This 5502-nucleotide long non-coding RNA is filed under the name Octopus vulgaris (common octopus). Lineage: Eukaryota; Metazoa; Mollusca; Cephalopoda; Octopoda; Octopodidae. The record is from RNAcentral.
AUCAGAUAGGAUGUAUAGACAUACGUAGUUAUAUAUAUAUGUAUAUGUAAAAAACUACGAAUGUAUAUCUAGAAAUAACAAGACGAAUGAAAUACUUCAUGUAAAAUACAAUUAAUUAACGACAAGGUAACAAAAAUACUUAUUUACUUCCAUCUUCAUAUUCAAAUACUGAGUAAUAUUUUUGUUUGACUAUUCUCUUCAGAUUUUUAUGUCUUCAAAUGCGUUUUGGCACUUUUCUGACAAAUUCCAUUUUACUUCUUUUUUUCCCAGUAAAUCGUUUAAUGGUGUUCUCAAUUUAUGUAUAUUUAGAAUGUACUGUUGAUAGUAAUUUACUAGGCCAAGGAAAGCUUGCAAUGUCGGUAUAUUCGUUGGAGGCAGCAUAUUCUUGAUUGCGUCUGCUCUCGACGUCUUCCAUUCUUAUCUAUGAUUUGACCCAGGUAUUUGAUUUUAGGCAAAAAAAAAAAAAGAAAAAAUUCACACUUCUCUUCACUGAGUGUGAAACCACAAUUCUUAAUUUCUUUAAAGUCACACUUCACGUAUUCGAUAUGCUAAUUCCGCGAUUCGCUUUUGAUUAACACAUCAUCAAGGUAAGGAAUAGCAAAUUGAUAGUCUGCCAACAUCGCGUCCAUCAUCUGUUGAAAUAUUGCAGGUGCUACCUUCAGUUCAAAAGGUAGUCUAUUGUAUUUGUAUAGAUCUCCGUGCGAGUUGACCGUUAACAGCUUUGAGCAUUUUUAAAAUCUACUUUGAUUUGUAGAUAUACGUCAGAUAGAUCGAGUUUUGAAAAUAUUUUCCUCUGUUUAGUUUUGUAAAAAUAUUUUCUGGGGUCUGUAGUAGAUAAUGGUUCAUUUUUAAACAGUCAUUUAAACCGGUCGAAAAAUCGGCGCACAACCCAAUUUUGUUUUCUUUUUCUUUUUAUGCAUACAGUCGGAACUGCCCAUUUCGCGUACUCCACUUUUCCAAUAAUUCCGUUUUUUGCCAAUCUGUCCAACUCACCAUCCCCUUGCUUUAUUUCCGCAAAGGCACUUUCUUAUUAGGUUUAAACACAGGUGUAACGUUAUCAUCUAAUUUAAAACACGAUUCAGUCUACUUAGUCCGAGAGUACUUGCGGAAACAUUUAAAAAAAAUUUUCGCUUAACUUUUCAGACGAAUUAUUUUUAGAAGGACAACCAUCUACGUUUUUACAAUAGAGAUUUACGGGGAGGUCCCAUAAAUCGAAUAAUUCUAACCAAUCGGUACCAAACAGAUCGGUUGCAUUUUUAACGACGAAGACUUUCACCAUGCAUGUUUUCCCUCGAAAUGUGACAUUAGUCCACAUUUCGCCUAUGAAAUGUAAUUUGUCGUCCGUCACGCUACCAGCAGAUUUCGCUGUUUUUCUCAAUAUAAGUUUCCCUAUUUUCUUCAGUGUGUCCACAUUUAUUAUUGAAACAUCACAUCUAGUAUCCAAUUGAAGUUUAAUAUGUAUUCCAUUUAUUUUUAUGUGUACGAAUUUUCUUAUUUUGGAGUCGAUUUUUGUUUCUGUUGAGAGCACUCUAGGGUUUUAACGUUUGAUAUUCGUAAUUUUGUUCUGCAGUCUGCACUCUAGUGACCAAUUCUUUUGCAACUGUAACAUUUUUGAUUUUUAAAUGGACAGACUUUUCCGAAAUGUAUGCCCCUACACCCAUAACAUGGAUUAGGACGUUGCUCUCUUUUCUGGUUGUACUUUUUCCGGUCGGCAUAUCAGUAUUCUUGAGGCAUCCUCUUCUUGAACUUUUUCUACUCCGUGUUUCAAGUUUACCAUCCUUUGGCAUUCUUUUGCCAUGAACUGUAAACUUAGUUCUUGGUUCGCUUGUUUCAAUUUAGAAAGAAUUCUUGCUUGAAUUUCUGUAUCUUCGCUUGCUGUAAGGCCUUGUACGAAAAUAAGACACUUGAAUGUCUCAGGUGUAAGUACUUUGGGAUCUUUUCGGUUUGAACGGCAGUUUUUUCUAGCGGUGUCAUAUGAAAUUAUUACCCAUAAUUAUGACCCUAGAAUCGAUCUAUUGCAUUUCAAUCUGUUUUAGGGUUAGGGGUGGGGGGAAGGUUAUCUUUUUUUCUUCACAAAUGUAAAUAAACCCAAUCUGUUUCUUAAACGAGGAACAUAUUCAUACGGCACAGAAUGCUUUUUAACUCAAUAGACGUCACUGUUUGGUUGAAAUUGCAGAAAUUGAAGGAAAAAAACGACAAAUAUCUUACAAACUAUAGAAUUUUCUCAAUAAAGCCAAGAAAAAAAGAUGUUUUAUAAACACAUUUUACCAGUAUACGAAGUUUAAAAUGUUUUAGUUACCUAGAAAUUAUGUUAAAAACUGCCGUUCAAACCGAAAAGAUCCGUACUUUGAGUUUAAAACUUUCACACAUCUUAUUGAGCGUUCCUGCGUCUGUGAUAAAAUCAUCAUUCUCUUUUAUCGUUAUAUUCCAACACUCUAUUCGAUUGUUCAAUAGUAAAGUUUUAUCACCGAAUAUGUUAGACAGUAAUUCUAUUGUUUUUUAAAAACAAAUUUCAUUGUAUUUUGGGGACAAUAUGGAAUUACGGUAACGUUCAUGCUCUAACGGCACUAAUUUUAGCAAUAACAAUCUCAUUUUUUGUUCGUCUGACCAUGAUUUGUAAUCUUGCUUAAAAAUCUCGUACCUUCUGUAGCACGAUGCACAAGUUAGACCCUCCUCUGAAUUCAUUAUUCGAGUUCGAAACGCUGUCUGUCGAAAACGAACUUACCUAAUUUUUAAAUUUCUUUGAAUAUAGCUUCAAUAAUUGUUGUUGUAGUUGUUGCUGUAAUAGUUGUUUCUGCAAUUCCCGUUGCUACUCUUGUUGCUUUAGCAACUGUGCUAUGGAAGCUGAUAGGCCUUCCCAUAUUUGACAAGUUGUAUCACAAAUUGUUAAAUAAUCUACGUGAGCUUCGAACCCACGUCGCCAGAUGUUGUGACGUAAUUUGUUACGUACAAUAAAUAACCCGACAACAGUAAAAACAAUAUAAUGAACUAACAAAUCUCUUUACGAACCAACAAUUAAUUUUCCUUGUGACUAACCAACCGGUACCUUCCGACUUAGCUGCGAAUUAACACCAACUUCACUCGACUCUUUUCUCUUUAUUAUAGGCAUAUAGCACUUUUUAUAGAAUGGGCAUUACAAAGACAAACGUCGGAUACAUAAAAUGAUUAACGAAUGAAUUAUGAAGUGUGAAAUUAUAAUAAUGAAAUGGCUUUCUACCCACCAAAGUAGAAAGUCCCAUUUUACUGUUUAUAUAAUCAAUGAUUUUUGUCCAGUAUGUAUCAUGAUUUAUAUUGCAUAAGGCAUUAAGUCUGCAUUCAUGACCACUGGUGGCAAUUCAUCAUAUUGAAACCACUUUCUUGUAAUUUCCACUCUGCUUCCAAAUGUCUCUUUUAAUCUCGCCGCUCUUUCGUUCUGCAGUAGCACUGCUUUCAUAAUACGGUUCUCUUCAUUAUCUGCUAAUUUCACUCUUAUUACACCUUUCAUUUUUGCUAUUUCAACACUUUUCUCGCACACCACUAACAUUCGUUCAUAUUUUCCUUUGCGUGGCAUUCACGGCUGUAUCUUCACUCUCUACUAGUGUCUCCACUUCUAUUUGAUGUUCGUUUUCUUGUUUAUUCUGUCCUUCCUCCUUCUUACUCGUUGAAGGUUCUCCGUUGCCUCCUCAUUUCUUCUUUUCUCUAUUUUCUUUUCCUCCGCUUUCCUUUUCUUUUUCGGUGAAGAUUCGCUAUUUCCUUUCUUCUCCACGAAUGUAAACUCUAUUUCCCUCUCCGAUAUUACAUUCACUUCUAUCUGACGACCCUCGUGUUUCUGGGGAUACUUUGCCUUCAUGUGCCCCCUUACUCUAUAUUGGAAGCAUAUUGGUGAUCUACCCUCCACCAUGACUCUCAGUCUGGUCUCAUCGGGCAGAACUAUCUCUUCUAUCAUUUUGUGGAGGUCAGACAGGCCGAUAAGUACCAUCACUUCUAGACCAUACCCCACCAGUUGACCUCCGCUGUCUUUGAUAUUUUCAACAUCUCCACUCUCCCCCCGUUCUUCAUUGUCUUCGUAUUUUCACACGUUUGAAUAUACUGGUGCACAUGUACGUAUGUCUGAGUGUAAACAUGUAUGUGUGAACGUACGCAUAUCUAUAUAUGUGUGUGUACACACACACACACACACAUACGCGUAUUUGCAUGUGUAUGCUUUUUGCACUAGUCUGCACGCGCGCACGCGUAGGGCUGCAUGAGCUGGUUACAAACCAAACCUACCGGGAAAGACUGUGACGGCGCCGUUCAUUGAGUGGUUUAUUGUACACAUUUAUGUUGCCGACUGUUAUCUUUACCCGCCUCUUCCUUCUCCAUUUAUAAAGGCGGUGUAAGUCCCAAAGCCCUAACACCUGCCCACUCUGCAUGCCCGUCCUCCUCUGGCAUGUUCCUGUGGUCUGUUCGGUUGAUGUUUCUCUCUAACUUCUAUUUCAUUUACGAUUGUCUGACGAUAUGUUUGCUCUACGUUUUCCCUAGAAGUGUCACGUGUUUACAUUUAGUGUGACGUCAGGUGUUGCCGAAUACUGAAACAUAUGUAACAAGUGGAAUAAUGGAAUGCUAAGCUACGUCCAUGUUCUUUUCUCUUAUUAUUGUUGCGUUCUUUGUAUUACGUCAUAUACCGUCCUCGGAUGCGUACAACAUGCGUGUACAAGCGGCGGAGUUUAACAUAUCUAACAUUAGAGCUGAAACAUGUGUGCUUUAAUUGUCGGGUGUCGUGUUCAUCCAAUUGUGUGCGCGCGCAUGUGUGUGCGUGUGUGCGUGUGCGUUUGCGUGCGCGCGCACAGUUAUAUGAUAAUCAGUUUCAAUUAUGGCUUUGAUUCGGUCAUCAUCAACUUCAGUAGGUCGGCCAGAACGUUAUCAUCUUUGAGUGAAAAAUCUCCUGAACGGAAAUUUUAAAACCAUUUCUGACAUGUGCGUCCUGUUAAGCAAUCAACAAUAUAAACUUCUCUUUGUGAACUUCAACAGCUCUCUUGCCUUUACAAAGAUAAAAACGCAACAUAUGGCGAAAAUGUUCGUUUUUGAACUCCAUAUUAAAAUUGACACUGAACUAAUAGCUGUAAACAAAAUUACGCGCAUUUUGCUUCUAAAGUAAGUUAAAAGUAACGACUAUCAAAUGUCAAAAGGAAAAAAAAAUCAUAACAUGGACAUAAACCAUUUAAAAAAUCGUAACUCUAUCUGUUUGCGAAAAACGAAAUUACUAUCUUGCCAACCCAAUAUAUUAAGUUUAUAUGUCACCAAAGUGUCAGCUGCCAUAGAUUUCUACUAAAAUUUGCUUACCUAAAAUUAUCUAUAUUUCUUUUAUUUUAGGCAUGAAGAUUUCUACAUAACAAUGAAGAGGACGUUCAUUAUUGCUUUUGCUUACUGCAUGAAAAUGUUUAUUAAAGUGACUGCGAAUUGUCAAACGGACUGCCCUGAUGUUUGCAACUGUACUGAGAUUAAAUUUAACCGCUGUACUGCAAUCUGUAAAGAUCAAAAUCU